CAUCCUUCGGGGUGUGAGUACAGUGGCGCACGGGUGAGUAACACGUGGGUUACCUGCCCUCCGGUGGGGAAUAACUCCGCGAAAGUGGAGCUAAUACCGCAUACGACCUUUGGGUGAAAGUCCUAGGACGCCGGAGGAGGGGCCCGCGGCCGAUUAGCUUGUUGGUGAGGUAAUGGCUCACCAAGGCUGCAAUCGGUAGCCGGCCUGAGAGGGCACACGGCCACACUGGCACUGAGACACGGGCCAGACUCCUACGGGAGGCAGCAGUGGGGAAUCUUGCACAAUGGGGGAAACCCUGAUGCAGCGACGCCGCGUGAGCGAUGAAGUCCUUCGGGGCGUAAAGCUCUUUCAGUGGGAACGAUAAUGACGGUACCCACAGAAGAAGCUGCGGCUAACUACGUGCCAGCAGCCGCGGUAAUACGUAGGCAGCGAGCGUUGUUCGGAGUUACUGGGCGUAAAGAGUGCGUAGGCGGUUACGUAAGUCUGGUGUGAAAUCUCCUGGCUCAACUGGGAGGGUGCGCCGGAAACUGCGGAGCUUGAGCACGGGAGAGGAAAGCGGAAUUCCUGGUGUAGCGGUGAAAUGCGUAGAUAUCAGGAGGAACACCGGUGGUGUAGACGGCUUUCUGGACCGUUGCUGACGCUGAGGCACGAAAGCGUGGGGAGCAAACAGGAUUAGAUACCCUGGUAGUCCACGCCCUAAACGAUGCAUACUUGGUGUGGGCACUUCAGUGUGUCCGUGCCGGAGCUAACGCGUUAAGUAUGCCGCCUGGGG
Molecule: ribosomal RNA, 772 nt
Filed under: uncultured Acidobacteriota bacterium
Lineage: Bacteria; Pseudomonadati; Acidobacteriota
Description: bacterial SSU rRNA
Rfam family: Bacterial small subunit ribosomal RNA
Source: RNAcentral